UAGGGAAUCUUCUGCAAUGGGCGCAAGCCUGACAGAGCAACGCCGCGUGAGUGAGGAAGGCCUUCGGGUCGCAGAACUCUGUUGUUGGGGAAGAAAAAGGUGUACAGCCGUUUGACGGUACCCGACGAGGAAGCCCCGGCUAACUACGUGCCAGCAGCCGCGGUAAUACGUAGGGGGCGAGCGUUGUCCGGAAUGAUUGGGCGUAAAGGGCGUGUAGGCGGCAGGUUAAGUCUGGUGUGAAAGACCACGGCUCAACCGUGGGAUGUCAUUGGAAACUGGCUUGCUUGAGUGCAGGAGAGGUGCGUGGAAUUCCUGGUGUAGCGGUGAAAUGCGUAGAUAUCAGGAGGAACACCGAUGGCGAAGGCAGCGCACUGGCCUGUAACUGACGCUGAGGCGCGAAAGCGUGGGGAGCAAACAGG
RNAcentral lists this ribosomal RNA (419 nucleotides) under uncultured bacterium. RNAcentral describes it as "bacterial SSU rRNA". It matches the Rfam family "Bacterial small subunit ribosomal RNA", at positions 355 to 776 of the family's 1533-position model. The record is from RNAcentral.